GAUGAACGCUGGCGGCGUGCCUAACACAUGCAAGUCGAACGGGACUAUUUAGAGAUGUUUUCGGACUGAUCUUUUUAGUUUAGUGGCGGACGGGUGAGUAACGCGUGGACAACCUGCCUUUCACAGGGGGAUAGCAGCUGGAAACGGCUGGUAAUACCGCAUACGCUCAAUACACCGCAUGGUGUAAUGAGGAAAGAUUUAUCGGUGAAAGAUGGAUCCGCGUCUGAUUAGCCAGUUGGCGGGGUAACGGCCCACCAAAGCGACGAUCAGUAGCCGGCCUGAGAGGGCGGACGGCCACAUUGGGACUGAGACACGGCCCAG
Molecule: ribosomal RNA, 321 nt
Filed under: uncultured bacterium
Lineage: Bacteria
Description: bacterial SSU rRNA
Rfam family: Bacterial small subunit ribosomal RNA
Source: RNAcentral